ACGCUAGCGACGUGCCUAAGGUAUGCAAGUCGAAUGCCGAUUUAUUGGCAUGGCAGACGGCUGAGUAAUACAUGGGAAUCUACCUCAAACUCGAGAAUAGCCCAUCGAAAGGUGGUGUAAUACUCGAUAGUUCCGUUUACGUGUAAAUGCUCCGUGCGGUUUGAGAUGAGCCCAUGUCCUAUCAGGUUGUUGGUGGGGUAAUUGCCUACCAAGCCUAUGACGGGUAGCUGGUUUGAGAGGAUGAUCAGCCAGACUGGGACUGCGAUACGGCCCAGACUCCUACGGGAGGCAGCAACUAGGAAUCAUGCGCAAUGGACGAAAGUCUGACGCUGCGACGUCGCGUGAGGGAUGAAGGUCUUCGGAUCGUAAACNCUCUUUUAUCUGGGAACANAUGUUCUGAGUGUACCAGAUGAAUAAGUGCCUGCCAACCACGUGCCAGAAGCAUCGGUAAUGCGUGGGGCACGAGCGNUUAUCCGGAUUUACUGGGCGUAAAGAGAUGCGUAGGCGCCUUUUUAAGUCACUUGUAAAAUCUCCCCGCUCAACGGGGAAACUGCAAGUGAUACUGAAUUGGUUGAGUCAAGUAGAGGAGAGGGGAAUUCCUGGUGGAGCGGUUAAAUGCGUUGAUAUCAGGAGGAAUACCAAGUGCGAAGGCACCUCUCUGGACUUGUACUGACGCUAAGGCUCGAAAGUGUGGGGAGCAAAACGGAUUAGAUACCCGUGUAGUCCACACUGUAAACGAUCCCUGCUAGAUGUUUG
This 756-nucleotide ribosomal RNA is filed under the name uncultured organism. RNAcentral describes it as "bacterial SSU rRNA". It matches the Rfam family "Bacterial small subunit ribosomal RNA", at positions 33 to 826 of the family's 1533-position model. The record is from RNAcentral.